AUGGAGGUUGCUGCUGGGGCCAUGGGCCCUGUCAUAUCUAAGCUCGGUGAGCUCCUUGUUGGAGAAUACAACCUGGAGAAGCGAGUAAAGAAAGGCGUCCAAUCGCUCCUUACAGAGCUGGAGAUGAUGCACGCUGUACUUCGCAAGGUUGGUGAGGUGCAGUCAGACCAGCUCGACGAGCCGGUCCGGAUUUGGGCUGGCAAGGUGAGAGACCUCUCUUGCGACAUGGAAGACGCUGUUGACGACUUCUUGGUGCGUGUGGAUGAGGGUUCAAGCAGCAAGCCAACGAACAUGAGGAAUCGAGUCAAGAAGUUUCUCAAGAAGACCACCAAAUUUUUUGUUAAGGGCAAAGCACUUCAUCAAAUAUGUGAUGCCAUUGAAGAAGCUCAGGAUCUUGCCAAGGAGUUGGCGGACCUACGUAAAAGGAGUCCCAAGGAGCAAUUGAAGACGAUCUCUAUUGUUGGUGUUGGUGGGCUAGAACCCAGAUAUCAAGAAAGUUUUCAAGGACUUACUCUAUGGCCUUGA
RNAcentral lists this ribosomal RNA (525 nucleotides) under Triticum aestivum (bread wheat). RNAcentral describes it as "partial small subunit ribosomal RNA". Lineage: Eukaryota; Viridiplantae; Streptophyta; Magnoliopsida; Poales; Poaceae. The record is from RNAcentral.